This 420-nucleotide ribosomal RNA is filed under the name uncultured bacterium. RNAcentral describes it as "bacterial SSU rRNA". It matches the Rfam family "Bacterial small subunit ribosomal RNA", at positions 355 to 776 of the family's 1533-position model. The record is from RNAcentral.
UGGGGAAUUUUGCGCAAUGGGCGAAAGCCUGACGCAGCAACGCCGCGUGGAGGAUGAAGGCCUUCGGGUCGUAAACUCCUGUCAGGGGGGACGAAAGGCCGGGCAACCGGCUUUGACUGUACCCCCUGAGGAAGCCACGGCUAACUCCGUGCCAGCAGCCGCGGUAAUACGGAGGUGGCAAGCGUUGUUCGGAAUUAUUGGGCGUAAAGGGCGCGUAGGCGGCUUGACAAGUCAGAUGUGAAAGCCCCGGGCUUAACUCGGGAAUUGCAUCUGAAACUGUUUUGCUUGAGUCCUGGAGGGGGUAGUGGAAUUCCCAGUGUAGCGGUGAAAUGCGUAGAUAUUGGGAGGAACACCUGCGGCGAAGGCGGCUACCUGGACAGUGACUGACGCUGAGGCGCGAAAGCUAGGGGAGCGAACGGG